Molecule: unclassified non-coding RNA, 3445 nt
Filed under: Ceratitis capitata (Mediterranean fruit fly)
Lineage: Eukaryota; Metazoa; Arthropoda; Insecta; Diptera; Tephritidae
Description: type I inositol 1,4,5-trisphosphate 5-phosphatase, transcript variant X4
Source: RNAcentral
UCGAUAAUACAAAUUUAGUGCGUCAAAAAAGUAAAAUAAGACAGCUUGAGGUUUUCUAAUAAAAAGUGGGUUAAGAGAAUCUUGUUAAAACUAAGUUCAGCCGAGUUUCAAAAGUUAAAGACACAAUAGGUUGAUAUUAUUAUAAAUAAUCUUAGCUCUGCUAAACAGAAAUUAAAAACAUUAUAAAUUACCCACAAACAGUUUAAAAGAAGGCAAAAAAUGUUGGAAAGUAAAACACAUAGUGAGUCACACAAAAAGGACGUCAAUACAAAUUCCAUUCUACUAUUAGUCACUGCAAAUGUAGGAAGUCUUUUCGAAGAUCCUCUGACAUUGAUGCAGAUUUGGGUUGACGAAUUUCUAACAACAGCAAGGCAAAUAUGUCCACAUUUCAUAGCACUCCACUUACAGGAAGUGGGCGGUAAAAUAUAUGACAAAUCUUCAAAUCAAGUUAAACGGUUUGUCGAAUUACUCUGUGAAGGGCUCGAGAAGCAGCAAUUUUUCAUUUUCCGCAUAUAUAUGGAUGAAAAUAUCAACGCCAGUGAACAGUUUACGGCUUUGGGAAAUUUAUAUUUCUGUCACCGAACUUUAGUCCGGAGCUGUAUCUGGAAUUUUGAAAUAAAUUCGUGGGAGCCCACUCAAAGAGCUAAGAAAUAUUUCGGAAACAUUGAGACCAUACCCACAAAAGAGAAAUCGAAAUUUCCGCUAGAGUUUUUCCCAGAUAGUAAAUGGUCAAGAAAAGGAUUUAUGAGAACACGCUGGAAUAUUGACGGGACUAUCGUAGAUUUUGUGAAUAUACAUUUAUUUCAUGAUGCGUCUAACUUAACUGCAGUUGAAAAUUCUCCUUCAGUUUAUUCUCAAAUGCGGAGAAAAGCAUUAUUACACACUUUGCAAAGGUUUUAUAACGAUAAGAACAACGAACCUGUGCCAUAUUUUCUAUUCGGCGACUUCAAUUUUCGAUGUGAUUCUGCUUCCGUAAUCAAGGAAUUGACAAGAAAUUUAACGAAACAUCGUGCAUCGACCACCAAUGCGAACAGCUCAAAAGUAUUUUAUCGGAAUGAGAUUGGAGAAAAUGUUUUAAUUAUCGGGAAAAAAGAAUUUCACUACGUUGAAAAUCAAGGAAUGAUUAAGGACAACUGGUUAAGCAAAUAUGAUCGAGAUCCGGAACCUUUCAAUGAUAUUUUAUGUGAGUUUGAGUUCGAUUUUAAGCCUUCAUAUCCAUUUGAAGAGGACCCAGAAUUGCCAAAUCAAUACAUGAAAACAAGGUGCCCAGCAUGGUGUGAUCGCGUUUUAAUGAGUUCACAAAUACCAGAAAUUUCUUCUCCCAAGAAAGCCUAUGAACAGUACAAUACAAUGGGCAAGUCCAUCUGCAUGGGGGAUCAUAAGCCGGUGUAUUUAUAUGUCGAAAUGAAAUCAAACAAAGAUUCACGGUGGAAGAACCAAUGAAGCGAAAUUAUCCCGUACAAUGAACAAACUGUAAGGAAUUCGGUCACACAAAAUCCCACUCUGCUUUACAUACCGUCUGCAUAGCAUGUGGCGAUCUUCACCAUUCUACCAAGUGGCUGUUGAAUAAAACGGAUGCAACACAAAAAUAGUGUAGCAACUGUGGUGGCAACUACGGUUUAUGAAGAUUUAAAAUCUAAACUUACCCAAGGUAUACAAGCAAAACGCAACCAGCUCCCAUAUGCUACUUCCAUUCCAGCCCCUUCCAACUUACCCAGCUCAAAUUCUGGUUCUGCCGACGUGCUAAAAGCCAGUGAACCGACCCCACCAGCUAUUCAUUCCAGUACUGGAGUUGAGGUCGUGUUUUUUAAUCUAAUCCAGUGCAUGAUACAAUUGAUAUCAACCAUGCAAAGUAUGGAUUAAGAUCUAAUAAAAGCGCAAAAGCAAAUGCUUGAAGCCCUGAUCACCGAAAAUGAAUUCACGAAAUUGAUGUUAUGCUUUUAUUCGAAAGGCUUCUUACUGAUGAGCAUAACUUUUAUAUCUCUGGGUUUAAGUUGUAGAAUACUAAUCACCUAGAUGGUAAGCACAUGGAGGUAUUAUACUCAUAAGGAGCCGCUUAAAGGAAAGUUUUCUUCACUCUUUCUCAGCAAACAUUUUUCAGUCAACUUAGCUCAUUCUUAAGAAUAGAGGCUUCGAUUUACUGCCCGCCACGCUUCAUAAUAACACAAAAACAAUUUACCGACUUUUUCAAGACUCUGGAAGAUAGAUUUUUAGUAGGAAGCAUUUAUAUUGGGGUUCGAGAUUAAUUAAUCCAAAAGGACGGCAGUAAUACAAAGCGAUCAUAAGUACCAAAAUAAAUACAAUUUUAUCUCACAACUCAGUAGCCUACAGACGCUGGGAAAUUACCUGACUUCAUUGACUUUGCAGUCACUAAAAACGGAGAGUUCAGUAUUUGCCGAAACUUAUGCUGACUUAUCUUGAUCAUUCCUCAAUAAUAUUAAAUUGACCGAACUACCAACUGAAAAUAAGCAUAUUUUUCGACUUGCUACGUUCAGAACUAACUGGCUUAAAUAUAAAACAUACAUAAGCAGUCAUCUACAGACAAAUCGGUAAAUAUAGAGGGAAUCUGAAAUUGAAAACGAGUUAUUUGUGUUCAGCAGUAUGCUGGCAACAGCAGCAACUGUAGCAACACCAGAGCAGGAAACAAAACCAAAAACCAGAAUCAUAAGACAUAAAAAAUUUUAUAAUGUCUUCUCUCUCAACGUUUAACCAAAGAAAUCGCUUUGGAGAGCUAACAAAACCCAUAAACCACCUGUAAGCACUGAAGCUCCGCUGAGGCUACGUAACGGUUCAUUGUUCAGUUCUUUAUUUCGACAUAAUCCGUUAUCGAUAUUGCACCUUUACCACCACACUUAUGUGUUCUUGGAUCAAUAUUGUAUAUUUUGUUCACCUCAGACAUUCCUGCAAAUGACAAAGUAAUGACAUUAACUUUUGCGGAUGAUACUGCUAUACUAAGUGGGCAUAAAUGGCCCAUUACUACUAUUUGAAGAACAGCUAGUGGAAUGGGGCAUAAGAGCAACACACAACCUUUACAUUAAGGCCAAAAUGUGCCCUAUCUUCAAGCUGAACAAUGUGCCUAUCCCACAAGCUAACGAAAUCACUUACCUUGGUAUACACUUGAAUAGCCUACUAAUUUGGAAAUGACACAUUUCAGCCAAAAAGUGCAGCUGAAACUAAUUAUCCGUUUAUAUUGGCUUUAAGAAAGAAAUAGGGGCUUAGCCUUGAAAACAAAGUCCUUUUUCAUAAUGCGAUUGUAAAACUGACAUGGAUGUAUAAAGUCCAGGGGUACAGCUUGCGCGAGAAAUCUAGAUAUAAUACAAAGAUUUCAGUCGAAAACAUUGAGAAUAAUAGCAGGUGCAUCAUGGUACAUUCGUUAUGAGAAUAUCCAUAUAGACCUAUACAUACGCACAAUCAAAGAAGAGAUUGAAACCGUUGCAAAAAGCAA